CUUGGCAUGCCUGGAAUCCUGCAGAGAUGUGGGAGUGCUCGAAAGAGAGCCAGGACACAGGUGCUGCAUGGCCGUCGUCAGCUCGUGUCGUGAGAUGUUGGGUUAAGUCCCGCAACGAGCGCAACCCUUGUCAUUAGUUGCUACGAAAGGGCACUCUAAUGAGACUGCCGGUGACAAACCGGAGGAAGGUGGGGAUGACGUCAGGUCAUCAUGGCCCUUAUGGGUAGGGCUACACACGUCAUACAAUGGCCGGUACAGAGGGCUGCCAACCCGCGAGGGGGAGCCAAUCCCAGAAAACCGGUCGUAGUCCGGAUCGCAGUCUGCAACUCGACUGCGUGAAGUCGGAAUCGCUAGUAAUCGCGGAUCAGCUUGCCGCGGUGAAUACGUUCCCGGGUCUUGUACACACCGCCCGUCACACCAUGGGAGCGGGUUCUGCCAGAAGUAGUUAGCCUAACCGCAAGGGGGGCGAUUACCACGGCAGGGUUCGUGACUGGGGUGAAGUCGUAACAAGGUAGCCGUAUCGGAAGGUGCGGCUGGAUCACCUCCUU
Molecule: ribosomal RNA, 548 nt
Filed under: uncultured Rubrivivax sp.
Lineage: Bacteria; Pseudomonadati; Pseudomonadota; Betaproteobacteria; Burkholderiales; Sphaerotilaceae
Description: bacterial SSU rRNA
Rfam family: Bacterial small subunit ribosomal RNA
Source: RNAcentral